AACGCGAAGAACCUUACCUGGAUUUGACAUCUCCUGAAGCGGGGUCGAAAGAGCUCGCGCUCUAGCAAUAGAGCAGGAAGACAGGUGCUGCAUGGCUGUCGUCAGCUCGUGUGGUGACAUGUUGGGUUAAGUCCCGCAACGAGCGCAACCCUUGUCCUUAGUUGCCAGCAUUUAGUUGGGCUCUCUAGGGAGACUGCCGUGGUGAACACGGAGGAAGGUGGGGAUGACGUCAAGUCCUCAUGGCCUUUAUAUUCAGGGCAACACACGUGAUACAAUGGACGGUUCAAAGAGACGCGAAGAGGCGACUUGGAGCCAAUCUCAAAAAGCCGUUCUCAGUUCGGAUUGGAGUCUGCAAUUCGACUCCAUGAAGUUGGAAUCGCUAGUAAUCGCGGAUCAGCAUGCCGCGGUGAAUCCGUUCCCGGGCCUUGUACACACCGUAGAGAC
RNAcentral lists this ribosomal RNA (444 nucleotides) under uncultured bacterium. Its description in RNAcentral is "bacterial SSU rRNA". It matches the Rfam family "Bacterial small subunit ribosomal RNA", at positions 958 to 1400 of the family's 1533-position model. The record is from RNAcentral.